RNAcentral lists this ribosomal RNA (253 nucleotides) under uncultured bacterium. RNAcentral describes it as "partial 16S ribosomal RNA". It matches the Rfam family "Bacterial small subunit ribosomal RNA", at positions 524 to 776 of the family's 1533-position model. The record is from RNAcentral.
UACGGAGGAUCCAAGCGUUAUCCGGAUUCAUUGGGUUUAAAGGGCGCGUAGGCGGCCUUCUAAGUCGAACGUGAAAUCCCCGGGCUCAACCCGGGAACUGCGUCCGAGACUGAAAGGCUUGAAUCCGGGAGAGGGAUGUGGAAUUCCAGGUGUAGCGGUGAAAUGCGUAGAUAUCUGGAGGAACAUCGGUGGCGAAGGCGGCAUCCUGGACCGGUAUUGACGCUGAGGCGCGAAAGCCAGGGGAGCAAACGGG